This 461-nucleotide ribosomal RNA is filed under the name uncultured soil bacterium. Its description in RNAcentral is "bacterial SSU rRNA". It matches the Rfam family "Bacterial small subunit ribosomal RNA", at positions 26 to 477 of the family's 1533-position model. The record is from RNAcentral.
AGGAUGAACGCUGGCGGCGUGCCUAAUACAUGCAAGUCGAACGAGGUGCUUUUGUAGCAAUACUAGAGUAUCCUAGUGGCGAACGGGUGAGUAACGCGUUGGUGACCUACCCCAAAGUGUGGAAUAACAGUCCGAAAGGAUUGCUAAUACCGCAUGUGGUUAUCGGGCUUAGAAACUGAUAACUAAAGGAGCAAUUCGCUUUGGGAGGGACCUGCGUCCCAUCAGCUAGUUGGUGAGGUAACGGCUCACCAAGGCUACGACGGGUAGGGGACCUGGAGAGGGUCGACCCCCCACAAGUGGAACUGAAACACGGUCCAUACACCUACGGGUGGCAGCAGUAGGGAAUAUGCACAAUGGGACGAAAGCCUAGAUGCAGCAACGCCGCGUGUGCGAUGGAAGGCCUUACGGGGCGUAAAGCCUAACUUUUUCAGGAGAGAGUAGAAGAAAGGCAAGUAUCGUAC